CUUCGCUCCCGUUCCGCGCUGUCCGUCACACACAGGAUGGCGUCCGCCAUGGAGCUCUCCCUCCUCAACCCCGCAAUGCACCACCACGGCAUCGCGGCCAAGACGGCCUCCCCCCUCCCGGUUCUCCCCGCGCGCCGGGGCGCCGUCCGCUUCCGCGUGAGGGCCGCCGCCGCGGCGCCGCCCGCACCCGCCGCGAAGCCCGGCUCGCCCAAGAAGCGGGGCAAGACGGAGGUCAACGAGUCGCUGCUCACGCCGCGCUUCUACACCACGGACUUCGACGAGAUGGAGCAGCUAUUCAACGCCGAGAUUAACAAGCAGCUCAACCAGGACGAGUUCGACGCGCUGCUGCAGGAGUUCAAGACGGACUACAACCAGACCCACUUCAUCCGCAACCCCGAGUUCAAGGAAGCUGCCGACAAGAUGCAGGGCCCGCUCCGCCAGAUCUUCGUCGAGUUCCUCGAGCGCUCCUGCACCGCCGAGUUCUCCGGGUUCCUCCUCUACAAGGAGCUCGGCCGCAGGCUCAAGGUUCGUGUACCACUUCUUCUUCUUCUUCUCUGCUCUUGCAUGUGGGCAUUUCGUAGAGCAGCUGGUGGGUGUGCGCUGAUGCCCGCGUUUCCUUUUCAGAAAACCAACCCGGUGGUGGCUGAGAUCUUCUCGCUCAUGUCCAGGGACGAGGCCCGGCACGCUGGGUUCUUGAACAAGGGGCUGUCCGACUUCAACCUGGCUCUGGACCUCGGCUUCUUGACCAAGGCUAGGAAGUACACCUUCUUCAAGCCAAAGUUCAUCUUCUACGCCACAUACCUGUCCGAGAAGAUCGGCUACUGGAGGUACAUCACCAUCUUCAGGCACCUAAAGGCCAACCCGGAGUACCAGGUGUACCCCAUCUUCAAGUACUUCGAGAACUGGUGUCAGGACGAGAACCGGCAUGGCGAUUUCUUCUCCGCGCUGCUCAAGGCGCAGCCGCAGUUCCUCAAUGACUGGAAGGCCAAGCUCUGGUCACGCUUCUUCUGCCUCUCGGUGUAUAUAACCAUGUACCUGAAUGACUGCCAACGUAGUGCCUUCUACGAAGGAAUUGGUCUCAACACCAAAGAAUUCGACAUGCAUGUCAUCUAUGAGACAAACCGCACGACGGCGAGGAUCUUCCCUGCUGUACCGGAUGUUGAGAACCCUGAAUUCAAGAGGAAGCUAGACAGGAUGGUAGAUAUCAACCUGAAGAUCAUUUCUAUAGGAGAGUCCAACGACAUGCCCCUGGUGAAGAACCUGAAGAGGGUUCCUCUUAUUGCCCAACUAGUGUCUGAGAUCAUCGCUGCGUACCUCAUGCCCCCAAUCGAGUCUGGCUCCGUUGAUUUUGCCGAGUUUGAGCCCAAGCUUGUCUACUGAAUUUGUAGAAGAAGGAUCCAUCUAUGCCUUUCUUUUCAGACAUAAUCAUGCAUCAUGCUCCUCGAGAGUCUCUGAAUGAGCACAUGAUCCAUGGUUAAUUAACAGGAUCUACAUCCUCCUGUGCUCAUCUGUAAAGUAUUAAAACUCGGCAAGUUUUUGCUUAGUCACAUCAACAUGUAAGUGGCAGUGAACUGCAUCAGAGCAUGUGUUCCGGUUUUGCUUCAGGUGGAGAAGCAUAUCUGAAGUUGUUAUGUAACUUGUGUCGAUACUUGAUUAAAUAGCAAUAUAGCAUCCGAUUUUGUAG
RNAcentral lists this ribosomal RNA (1684 nucleotides) under Triticum aestivum (bread wheat). RNAcentral describes it as "partial small subunit ribosomal RNA". Lineage: Eukaryota; Viridiplantae; Streptophyta; Magnoliopsida; Poales; Poaceae. The record is from RNAcentral.